This 154-nucleotide ribosomal RNA is filed under the name Acidobacteriota bacterium. RNAcentral describes it as "Acidobacteria bacterium partial 16S ribosomal RNA". It matches the Rfam family "Bacterial small subunit ribosomal RNA", at positions 7 to 158 of the family's 1533-position model. The record is from RNAcentral. Lineage: Bacteria; Pseudomonadati; Acidobacteriota.
GAGAGUUUGAUCCCGGCUCAGAAUCAACGCUGGCGGCGCGCCUAACACAUGCAAGUCGAACGAGAAAGCGGGGGUAACCUCGUGAGUAAAGUGGCGUACUGGUGAGUAACACGUGGAUCAUCUACCCCGAAGUGGGGAAUAACGCUGGGAAACC